This 487-nucleotide ribosomal RNA is filed under the name uncultured bacterium. RNAcentral describes it as "bacterial SSU rRNA". It matches the Rfam family "Bacterial small subunit ribosomal RNA", at positions 30 to 511 of the family's 1533-position model. The record is from RNAcentral.
AUUGAACGCUGGCGGAAUGCUUUACACAUGCAAGUCGAACGGCAGCACGGGGGCAACCCUGGUGGCGAGUGGCGAACGGGUGAGUAAUGUAUCGGAACGUACCAUUCAGUGGGGGAUAACGUAGCGAAAGUUACGCUAAUACCGCAUAUUCUGUGAGCAGGAAAGCAGGGGAUCGCAAGACCUUGCGCUGAUUGAGCGGCCGAUAUCAGAUUAGCUAGUUGGUGAGGUAAAGGCUCACCAAGGCGACGAUCUGUAGCGGGUCUGAGAGGAUGAUCCGCCACACUGGAACUGAGACACGGUCCAGACUCCUACGGGAGGCAGCAGUGGGGAAUUUUGGGACAAUGGGCGCAAGCCUGAUCCAGCCAUGCCGCGUGCGGGAAGAAGGCCUUCGGGUUGUAACCGCUUUGUCAGGAAGAAUCUUCUGAGCUAAUACCUCGGGAGGAUGACGGUACCGUGAAGAAUAAGCACCGGCCUAACUACGUGACCG